UACGGAGGGGGCAAGCGUUGUCCGGAUUUAUUGGGCGUAAAGAGCGUGUAGGCGGCUUUACAGGUCCGUUGUGAAAACUCGAGGCUCAACCUCGAGACGCCGGUGGAAACCGUAAAGCUAGAGUCCGGAAGAGGAGAGUGGAAUUCCUGGUGUAGCGGUGAAAUGCGCAGAUAUCAGGAAGAACACCCGUGGCGAAGGCGGCUCUCUGGGACGGUACUGACGCUGAGACGCGAAAGCGUGGGGAGCGAACAGG
RNAcentral lists this ribosomal RNA (253 nucleotides) under uncultured bacterium. RNAcentral's name for it is "partial 16S ribosomal RNA". It matches the Rfam family "Bacterial small subunit ribosomal RNA", at positions 524 to 776 of the family's 1533-position model. The record is from RNAcentral.